CCUACGGGGGGCAGCAGUGGGGAAUAUUGCGCAAUGGGCGAAAGCCUGACGCAGCGACGCCGCGUGAGGGAUGAAGGUCUUCGGAUCGUAAACCUCUGUCAGCAGGGAAGAACGGUCACUGUGCUAAUCAGCAGUGAAUUGACGGUACCUGCAAAGGAAGCACCGGCUAACUCCGUGCCAGCAGCCGCGGUAAUACGGAGGGUGCGAGCGUUAAUCGGAAUUACUGGGCGGAAAGCGCUCGUAGGCGGUAUGUCAAGUCAAGGGUGAAAUCCCCGCGCUCAACGUGGGAACUGCCUUUGAAACUGGCAAACUGGAGUGUGUGAGAGGAUAGUGGAAUUCCAGGUGUAGGGGUGAAAUGCGUAGAUAUCUGGAGGAACAUCAGUGGCGAAGGCGACUAUCUGGCACAUAACUGACGCUGAGGAGCGAAAGCGUGGGUAGCAAACAGGAUUAGAUACCCGAGUAGUC
Molecule: ribosomal RNA, 465 nt
Filed under: uncultured bacterium
Lineage: Bacteria
Description: partial 16S ribosomal RNA
Rfam family: Bacterial small subunit ribosomal RNA
Source: RNAcentral